GAGUUUGAUCGUGGCUCAGAUUGAACGCUGGCGGCAUGCUUUACACAUGCAAGUCGAGCGGCAGCGCGGGGCAACCUGGCGGCGAGCGGCGAACGGGUGAGUAAUGCAUCGGAACGUAUCCCGUAGUGGGGGACGAACCCAGCGAAAGACUGGGCGUAAUACCGCAUAUGCUCUACGGAGGAAAGUAGGGGGACCGUGAGAGGGCCGUCACGCUAUGGGAGCGGCCGAUGUCCGAUUAGCUGGUUGGUGGGGUAACGGGCUUACCAAGGCGACGAUCGGUAGCUGGUCUGAGAGGAUGAUCAGCCACACUGGGACUGAGACACGGCCCAGACUCCUACGGGAGGCAGCAGUGGGGAAUUUUGGACAAUGGGGGCGAACCCUGAUCCAGCCAUGCCGCGUGCGGGAAGAAGGCCUUCGG
Molecule: ribosomal RNA, 418 nt
Filed under: uncultured beta proteobacterium
Lineage: Bacteria; Pseudomonadati; Pseudomonadota; Betaproteobacteria
Description: bacterial SSU rRNA
Rfam family: Bacterial small subunit ribosomal RNA
Source: RNAcentral